GAAAAUUCCAAAUGGGCAACCCAGUUGCUUCUUUGCUUCUCCAUCCUACUUUCUUACUCAAAUAAUUUCUUCUAUUCACAGGAGCAACACAGAAAGAGAGAUUAGUAGUAGCAGUAGUUUUGGACUUCUGAUUAACUUAAGAAGCAUCAGUUCCUAAUCAGUUGGAGAUGGUGGUUAUGGAGUCUCUGCUUCUUGGGUCGUUUCCUAAGCCUUCUUCGGUCACUUCUGGUGGAAAUUGUUGGGAGAGUAAAAAUUUCAGAGUGGGUCACUCUCCAAGGGUAACCCGUUCUAUAGCAUCAGUCAGAGUUGCCAGGUGCAGAACAUGGAACGUCCUAGAAAGAUAUUAUGUUGCAAAGUUUCCGCUUCCUCGAAUGAACCAUCAUCUUAGAUGUAGUGUGGAAAGAUCUAACAUUUAUCAGAGAAAAAAGGGUGCCCAUUUCUUGGUGUAUACCGCCUCUGGACAGCCUCUUGAAUCUGAGUCAGAUGCUUAUAGUCCUAAGAUUACUUCAAAUUCUGUUCUCAAUGCAUUAGAUGCUUUCUACAGAUUUUCACGUCCUCAUACGGUUAUAGGCACAGCUUUGAGCAUCUUAUCGGUUUCUCUCCUUGCAGUAGAGAAACUCUCGGAUCUUUCUCCACUGUUCUUGACAGGUGUUUUGGAGGCAGUGGUUGCUGCCCUCAUGAUGAAUGUAUACAUAGUUGGUUUAAAUCAAUUAACUGACAUCGAAAUAGACAAGGUUAACAAGCCAUAUCUUCCAUUGGCAUCUGGAGAGUAUUCCAAGGGCAUUGGUGUUAUGAUUGUUGCAUCUUUCUCCAUAAUGAGCUUUUGGCUUGGAUGGGUUGUUGGUUCAUGGCCAUUGUUUUGGGCUCUUUUUGUCAGUUUUGUUCUUGGAACAGCAUAUUCAAUCAAUUUGCCAUUAUUGAGAUGGAAAAGGUUUGCAUUUGUUGCAGCAAUGUGCAUCUUAGUUGUCCGGGCAGUGAUCGUUCAACUUGCCUUUUAUCUGCACAUGCAGACCCACGUGUACAGAAGACCUACUGUCUUUUCCAGGCCUCUGAUUUUUGCAACUGCAUUCAUGUGCUUAUUCUCUGUUGUUAUAGCAUUAUUCAAGGAUAUACCUGAUAUUGAAGGGGAUAAGAUAUUUGGUAUCCGAUCCUUUACAGUGCGCUUGGGCCAAGAACGGGUUUUCUGGACCUGUAUUUCUCUGCUUGAAAUAGCUUAUGGUGUUGCUAUUUUAGUUGGAGCAGCUUCUUCCCACACCUGGAGCAAGUGUAUCACGGUUCUGGGGCAUGCCAUAUUGGCUUCAAUACUGUGGAACCGUGCUAAAGCUGUUGAUCUCAAGAGCAAAGCUGCUAUAACUUCAUGUUACAUGUUUAUUUGGAAGGUAACUUUCUGCCUCUUACUGAUUGACAGUAAAUAUUACAGGAAGUGUAAGUUGAUCAAAUUAAAUAAUUAAAAUGAAUAAAAUGACCCGAUGAUAUUGAAGUACUUAUGCCAUCAUCUUGCAUUCACAUGGACUACCAUGUUUACAUCAAUCAUUAACCACUUACUUUCUAGUUUUGUAAAGAUAUCCAUUUUUUUACACACAAAGUAGAUUAACCUUUUUUGUUUUUAUUAUUUUAUUUUCUUGUUCAAUAAGAUUUAAAUUUAAGAAUGUAAAGGUUACCAAAGCUUGCUCAUUUUUCACUGGAGCUGGAUCAAGUUCAAACAGAAAUAUGGGCGCCAAACUCACUAUUCUCUUUUAUGCAGAAUACUUGCUCAUACCACUCGUAAGAUGAGCAUGCAAAGCAUUGUGGAGAGAAGGAAACUGCAGCCGUCUCUAAAAAUGGAGUAUUCUACUGAAACAUUAAUGCCUAGAAAGAGGAUACUAUGGUUUGCUUGCAAGUUCUGUAUGCCUAUCAUUUAUCUCGAACAAUUGUAAUGCUGGGAGAAAAAAAUGCAAUUACUAUGUAAUGGCAUUGUAUUAGUACACAAUUUAUUAUUUGCAUUUAUAUCUCGUGAUAUAAACUGGAAAAAGUUAAGAAGAAACACAGAAAUAGGAAGAGAAAACCAGAGAAAGAGAAACUAAAUGAGAGAGGAAGAAUCAAUUUCUGAAUUAUUAUUCCAUAAUAAAUAGAAAGGAAUACAGUUCUAGUGUAGAGACAAGGAGGAGAACAUAUUCAACACACAGCUCGUGCAAAGGAAAGACCAGGGCCACCAUU
This 2196-nucleotide unclassified non-coding RNA is filed under the name Hevea brasiliensis (rubber tree). Lineage: Eukaryota; Viridiplantae; Streptophyta; Magnoliopsida; Malpighiales; Euphorbiaceae. The record is from RNAcentral.